RNAcentral lists this ribosomal RNA (403 nucleotides) under Fusobacteriota bacterium. Its description in RNAcentral is "Fusobacteria bacterium partial 16S ribosomal RNA". It matches the Rfam family "Bacterial small subunit ribosomal RNA", at positions 355 to 776 of the family's 1533-position model. The record is from RNAcentral. Lineage: Bacteria; Fusobacteriati; Fusobacteriota.
UGGGGAAUAUUGCACAAUGGGGGAAACCCUGAUGCAGCGACGCCGCGUGAGCGAAGAAGGUUUUCGAAUCGUAAAGCUCUGUCCUAUGGGAAGAUAAUGACGGUACCAUAGGAGGAAGCCCCGGCUACCUACGUGCCAGCAGCCGCGGUAAUCCGUCGGGGGCAAGCGUUGUCCGGAAUCACUGGGCGUAAAGGGUUCGAAGGCGGAAAUGUAAGUCAGUUGUGAAAGGCAGAGGCUCAACCUUGGUAAGCAAUUGAAACUGUAUUUCUUGAGAGGUGGAUAGGCAAGUGGAAUUCCUAGUGUAGCAGUGGAAUGCGUAGAUAUUAGGAAGAAUACCGGUGGCGAAGGCGACUUGCUGGACACAAACUGACGCUGAGGAACGAAAGCGUGGGUAGCAAACAAG